AAAGUGCUGCAACAUUUGAGC
Molecule: microRNA, 21 nt
Filed under: Callithrix jacchus (white-tufted-ear marmoset)
Lineage: Eukaryota; Metazoa; Chordata; Mammalia; Primates; Cebidae
Description: cja-miR-372
Gene: cja-miR-372
Source: miRBase by way of RNAcentral